CCUACGGGAGGCAGCAGUGAGGAAUAUUGGUCAAUGGGCGGAAGCCUGAACCAGCCAAGUAGCGUGCAGGAUGACGGCCCUACGGGUUGUAAACUGCUUUUAUACGGGAAUAACGCGCCUUACGUGUAGGGCUUUGCAUGUACCGUAUGAAUAAGGGCCGGCUAAUUCCGUGCCAGCAGCCGCGGUAAUACGGAAGGUGCGGGCGUUAUCCGGAUUUAAUGGGUUUAAAGGGAGCGUAGGCCGCAUGUCAAGCGUGCUGUGAAAUGUCCGGGCUCAACCCGGGCCCUGCAGCGCGAACUGGCGUGCUUGAGUCCGCGGAAAGCAGGCGGAAUUCGUCGUGUAGCGGUGAAAUGCUUAGAUAUGACGAAGAACCCCGAUUGCGAAGGCAGCUUGCUGCAGCGGAACUGACGCUGAUGCUCGAAAGCGCGGGUAUCGAACAGGAUUAGAUACCCGAGUAGUC
This 460-nucleotide ribosomal RNA is filed under the name uncultured bacterium. RNAcentral's name for it is "partial 16S ribosomal RNA". It matches the Rfam family "Bacterial small subunit ribosomal RNA", at positions 338 to 795 of the family's 1533-position model. The record is from RNAcentral.